GAUGAACGCUGGCGGCGUGCCUAAUACAUGCAAGUCGAGCGAACGGACGAGAAGCUUGCUUCUCUGAUGUUAGCGGCGGACGUGUGAGUAACACGUGGAUAACCUACCUAUCAGACUGGGAUAACUUCGGGAAACCGGAGCUAAUACCGUAUAAUAUUUUGAACCGCAUGGUUCAAAAGUGAAAGACGGUCUUGCUGUCACUUAUAGAUGGAUCCGCGCUGCAUUAGCUAGUUGGUAAGGUAACGGCUUACCAAGGCAACGAUGCAUAGCCGACCUGAGAGGGUGAUCGGCCACACUGGAACUGAGACACGGUCCAGACUCCUACGGGAGGCAGCAGUAGGGAAUCUUCCGCAAUGGGCGAAAGCCUGACGGAGCAACGCCGCGUGAGUGAUGAAGGUCUUCGGAUCGUAAAACUCUGUUAUUAGGGAAGAACAUAUGUGUAAGUAACUGUGCACAUCUUGACGGUACCUAAUCAGAAAGCCACGGCUAACUACGUG
RNAcentral lists this ribosomal RNA (497 nucleotides) under uncultured bacterium. Its description in RNAcentral is "partial 16S ribosomal RNA". It matches the Rfam family "Bacterial small subunit ribosomal RNA", at positions 28 to 507 of the family's 1533-position model. The record is from RNAcentral.